Molecule: long non-coding RNA, 172 nt
Organism: Mustela erminea (ermine)
Lineage: Eukaryota; Metazoa; Chordata; Mammalia; Carnivora; Mustelidae
Exons: 3
Source: RefSeq, a predicted model, not a curated record
UGUUUUUUUAUAAAAAAAAAAAAAAAAAAACCUGGUUUUUCUCAAUAUACCUUUAAAGGUUUUUACAUUGUUCCAUAUCUGGUCAAGUUGAGAUCUUUAAGAACCUCAUUUUUAAUUUGUAAUAAAAUUUUACAACUUUUUUUUUUUCAAAAAAGUCAAUAAAUAGCAAGCA